UUGCCCGUAGUUUUUACCCUAAUUUGUUUAGGGGUUUUCCACGUAAAAUCUGUGCCUCAUUUAUUUUUCUUUCUCAAAUUAUUAUUGCAAUCUGAUCUAUCCCACUUCCGCGGGCGCAACACUGCACUCUUAAACAUAUUUCAUGCAAAAUAAAGUUUAGGCUGUAAAUUUACCUUGUACGAUCCCAGAAGCCUAUCGCGAGCCAAAAUCUGCAAGGAAUAGUCAACUGAAAGCAUUACAUUUAAUAUAUGUUUUUCGUUUAAUUUGUUCUUUUGUCUGUGAGUUUCUGGCAAUUAAUGUCCUAUGCAAGCAACUAUUAUAAGAUCAGAGGAAGAUGAUCUUUGCAUUUUAAUCUAAUUAGUCUCUCAUCAUGCUUUUAUAAUAAGAUCUUCAGCAAUUUUACUGCACUAUAUCAUUCUUAAUACUGAGUAACUUUUUUAUUCAAAAAAAAAAUAAAAAUACUGAGCAACUUUUUAUUAUUUACAAUUCAGUGAAAGAUUCAAGUCUUUGAAGGGCAAUAUUUGUAUCCUAUCAAAACUAGGGACAUGCAAAUUCACAAUUGAUAUCGGGAAUACAGGAACUAUUAGUUCAGUUUGGUUAGAAAUGAAGGCAAAAGUUCUAAGAUGUUACAUUCUUAAGGCACUACUAGAUGGGCUAUAAGAAGAUUGUUCGAUGCUACACUCCACACCCUGGCCUAAUAGGAUUGUGGAGAUUAAAUCACGGUGACUCAGUUGCCCAUUAGGUGGGAGACCAGUGUUUGGUGUCCAUCAGAACUGACAGGGCUUAAUUAUACAUCUUGUCCAUAAUCUACCAUCCAAGAAUCAAUUGAGCUACGGGGGUGGGUGUGGAGCAGCCAAGCAGGGUGAAGAUAGUGAGAAGGAAGGCAGACCUCAGGUGGCUUUACCCACAUUUGACCAUCAUACCAUCCAGUCUCUUCAUAAGGUACAACAGCUGAUAGAAGCCUAUCCCCAACAUAGCUCCAUCCCUUUCAUGAAGAAAUAAAAUCAUCAUCAGAGAAUAAAUAUCGAUUCAGAAAUUUACUGAUAUAACAUCCAAGUAUGAUUUGAAUGAUGUAAAAAGAUCUUACCAGAUAAAUCCUCAGAACAAUCAGUCCUACUAAAAGAGUUGUUCCUGUACCAGAAGCUAGGGCAAAUCGUAAGGGAUCCUGGAAGACAACAAAAGUUUUUCAAAUUCUACCAUAUAUGAGAACUGAGAAGCAGCAAAAGCUUAUUUCUGCAACUGAAAUGACUGCUUCCCUUUUUUUUUUUUAAUAGUAAAAGCAUGAGAGUACCUUGGAAGGAUCAAAGCUAGCAGCUGCAAUGGGCACUCCUAAAACUGUGAAAGUAAUGAACCAAAGGCCCCCAAGACGUAGGAAGAAUGAACCUGGACUCAACUCAGCCCAGGAAUACAUUGCUGAUUCUUUGAGAGAUGAGUAUUCAUUCACCUGUUAACCAAGAUUUGUUCAUUAUUAGUUUGAUGUGAUAGUGCAAGCGCUUACCACUACCUUAUCAAUUGCUGAAUUUUUGCUGAAUUUGGCCCUUUUUUGGCCUCCGCCCAUCAAGUUUCCUUAUUCGUGGCCUAACUCUAAUACCACUCAGAACGAAGAGUUAGAGACGUUAAUUUAUUUCCUUAUACUGCCACCAUAUUUUCUAGAAGCAGGGUAUUGGAUUUGACUCUGCCCAAUAAUUUUCUAACUACCAAUUGUUAAACUGACAAUUUACUGGUCUCCACCGCUUGAACUUGGUUAUAUGACCACAGCAUCCUAGAGACUGCUUUCUAAGAGUUUAUAUUUGCAGAUAUUGAAUAGACAUCAUACCGGCCUCUGUUCAAAUGGCACUUCAAAUUCCAACCCAGGGUCCCAACUCCGACCUGGUAGCCCACCGGUUCCUCCGUUCAUCUCAUCUUUCAGGGCUUUUGCUGUGAACCUCUUUGAUAGGAUCUGUGCUUUGUUAACAUGAACUAUCCAUGAACUGCAACUUCCUCCAGCAUGGUUCCCUUGUUGCCGACCAGGAACUAGAGAGCAGGUAUGGCCCAUAAGAUUAUUCUUGGUGAUCCACGAGUCUCCUGCAUGGUGGUGGUCCAUUGCAUAUUGGGGGAACAGCCUUUGCCAUGAAUCUCUAGCAUGUCAUUUUUCAUCCUGUGCAAGGAAAUAAAUCUGUUAUCCUCAACCUCACUCUGUUCUUAAUGGUUAAGAUCUCUGCUGUAUAGUCAAAAACCAAACAACUACUUCUCGUUCGACCAAUCCUUGUUUUUUGGGUAUGAACUCCCAACAAACAAAGAUUGAAAACAGAAUGCAAUAGGAUGCAUAAACGCAUGGCAGCAACGAAACCGGUAAGCCUCUAUUUAUUCAAUUCUGAUUAUCUGAUAUAAUGUGAACCUAACAGAGUGUACGAAUUGUGUAUAAUAGAAGAAGCAAAUAAUUUCUUAAUAUGCCAACUACUAUGUAGUAUGAUGACGCCUCUGUUACCAUUCCAAAUGGGUGGUCACAGAAUCGGAAAAAAAAAAAAUUAAUAAUAAUAAUAACUUCUUAAUAUACAAAACUAGUUGAAAUGCUGCAAGUUAAGCUGUCAGAUCUUAAAGAUGUAUCAUAGAGAAACAAGUUGAGAUGUCACAUCAUGAGAAAAUUUCAGCUAUAUAUGGUAGAGGCAAAAUAAUUUUUAAUGAGGUUAGCAAGGGGAAGAACAUCUACAGAAAAUACUUGUGAAAGCUGCAAUAGAGAUGUUUGCAGUGGGUAGUAGGAAUACAGAAGGUGAACAUAUCUGCUACGCUACAACUAGAGCUAUAGAACAAAUAUAUAUAUAUAUAUAUAUAUAUAUAUAUAUAUAUAUAUAUAUAUAUAUGACUCCGUACGUGUUAUCCACAAAAUGACAUCUGUUUUUCUCUGGUUCAUUUGGGAGUCUCAAGUAGUUGUGAAGAAAACUUAAAUUUUGGAGAGCAAAGUAUUGGUAACCUAAGGUGACCAAACACACAAGAAUGCAAGUAUUAAAUUUCACGACAUUUGACUAAGCUAUGUAAGUAUUGCAGCUUGGUAAACAGUAGUUGUGUCAAACAGUAUAUACAAAACAAAUGAAAGGGGAUUAUGUUAUAUGUAUAAAGAACACUCAUAUCUACCUUCCAAUCAGUGAUGCUCCUUGACAGAAGGGCUAUAUACUGCUCCAUUGCCUCCUCCCGGCUAAUGUCACCUAGCCUUUGCCAAGCAUUCCUAUCGGUGGUUAUAAACUUAAGUUAUCAACUCCUGCUGUUAUUUUAAGUUCACCAAAACAGAAUUUAAAGAUUGCAUAAAUCGAGUUCGUAUAUAACGAACUUGACAUAACUCCACUCCCCCAUCGAAUACUCAAUUAUGGGCUGCAGGGCUAAGAAAACUCAAUUUUGUUACACUGUCAACAUAAGCUUAGAGUCAUGGUGUUCAUUUACCAUCCUAUCCUGUCUAAUGUGUGAUGAAUACUUUAGGCGAAGAUCACAACAAAUUUGAUCAGAAGUCAUACAUACUAACAAACUAUUUGAUUUCAAUCUCUAACAUUAACAGCAUAGAAAGGUUGUGCAGUGGUGAGUACCAUUUGGCGCGAGCCGAGAGCUUCAAUGCCAUGGGCUGAGUUCUGCAACAAGGCCCGUCGGUAGCGACCUUGUGAAGGCCAUAAAGCUGCAUCUUCACACCAUUGUCAAGCUGAUCAGCAUUGGCCUUUGAAUCCACAAACACCACUGCAGUGCCAAAAGCCUUCUCCAGGUCUGUUCUCUCAAUCCCUUCCCACUCAUCAUCAAACACUCCCUCCUCUCUUAAUAUCUCAUUUUCCUCUGAAACUUCAUCUCCCUCCAUCUUUCUUGGCCCUUCAAUCUCACCAUGCUCUAUGUGAAUUUCGCGAAAAUCUUCUUCAACAGGACCCUCUACUUCAAUUUCUUGAACCUUUCCUCUCUCAGGACUUUCAUCGACUACUUGGUCUACAAUUUCAUCAUCCUUAUCUUCUACUCCCCCUUGAUGAGCUACUUUUUCCACACUUUCAUCGUCCCCACCACCGACAAUCCCUUCAUCUACAAAACCUUUAUUAACUUCCAGCCUCUCUGCCUUUUCAGUGGCAUCUACGCAGCAGAAACCCAUGUUUUUGUGCCUUGCAAGAGAAGCGUUGGAAUGGAAUUUGGAGAGGAUGAAAUAGAUGAGCACAGAGAGGCCAACAGUAAAGGCCAAUUCUUGGAAGAGCAUGAUAUCCAGGUCCAUAUUGCAUAGAGAGAGUAAUAUGAGAGGAGUGAAAAGAAGGGAAUUCUCUCUGAGACUAAACAAAAGGGGAGGGGAUUUUGGAGGAGCAGAGCAAAGUAUAUUCUGAUUUCUGAGAGAUGAGAAUAGAUGGGUUGUGGCGAUGGUGUGCUGGCAGGCAAGCUUUCGCAAAAACAGGGAAAAGGCGAGUUGUCUGAAAACGAUGGUUUCACUAACGAUCGAUGUAUCGAAACCUCAACCGGCCUUGUUUUCUCGGCACCCUCUGUCUUUUACCAAGAAUUUGUGCAAUCCCUUUCUUGUCUUGUUUCUCUUCUCUUCCUCUCCUAUUGUUUUUUCCUUCUUACCCUCCUUUCUUCUUAUAUCUUAUCCUUUAAUAACUAUAAUAAAAGUGAAAUUGUAAGUUUAAUAUCAACCAACAAUUCAACUUGAUGGAUUAUUAUUAAGUAAAGUA
Molecule: long non-coding RNA, 4658 nt
Organism: Ipomoea triloba (trilobed morning glory)
Lineage: Eukaryota; Viridiplantae; Streptophyta; Magnoliopsida; Solanales; Convolvulaceae
Exons: 4
Source: RefSeq, a predicted model, not a curated record